GACAGAGGGUGCAAGCGUUGUUCGGAAUCACUGGGCGUAAAGGGCGUGUAGGCGGCGGAGUAUGUCCGAUGUGAAAUACCUCAGCUUAACUGAGGAAGUGCAUCGGAAACUACUUCGCUAGAGUGCGAGAGAGGGUGGCGGAAUUCCCGGUGUAGAGGUGAAAUUCGUAGAUAUCGGGAGGAACACCAGAGGCGAAGGCGGCCACCUGGUUCGUAACUGACGCUGAGACGCGAAAGCGUGGGUAGCAAACAGG
RNAcentral lists this ribosomal RNA (253 nucleotides) under uncultured bacterium. RNAcentral describes it as "partial 16S ribosomal RNA". It matches the Rfam family "Bacterial small subunit ribosomal RNA", at positions 524 to 776 of the family's 1533-position model. The record is from RNAcentral.